Molecule: long non-coding RNA, 263 nt
Filed under: Capsella rubella
Lineage: Eukaryota; Viridiplantae; Streptophyta; Magnoliopsida; Brassicales; Brassicaceae
Description: long non-coding RNA (CRUB_LNC001111)
Source: RNAcentral
UUUUUUUUGGGUCAAAAGAUCGAUUUAAAAACAUAUUUUGAUGAUAAUUUUAUAUGUAUUAUAUGUUUCGUUCAAUAUUAGAAAAUUUUAUUUUUUAUCAGCUUAGUGGUAUCACAAAAUGACGAUGAUUGAUGAUUUAUGUUGGUUAUUAAACCAUCAAACAUUGCAUCUAAUUUAAUAUCUAAAUUAGUAGAUAAAUAAAUUUAUGAGUGGUCCAUUUUUCAUUUUCUAAUAAGGAAUACAAGAAAAUGUUGACAAAAAAA